RNAcentral lists this ribosomal RNA (493 nucleotides) under uncultured bacterium. RNAcentral's name for it is "partial 16S ribosomal RNA". It matches the Rfam family "Bacterial small subunit ribosomal RNA", at positions 29 to 523 of the family's 1533-position model. The record is from RNAcentral.
AUUGAACGCUGGCGGCAUGCUUUACACAUGCAAGUCGAACGGUAACAGGUUAAGCUGACGAGUGGCGAACGGGUGAGUAAUGCAUCGGAACGUGCCCGAUCGUGGGGGAUAACGCAGCGAAAGCUGCGCUAAUACCGCAUACGAUCUGAGGAUGGAAGCGGGGGACCGUAAGGCCUCGCGCGAUCGGAGCGGCCGAUGUCAGAUUAGGUAGUUGGUGGGGCAAAGGCUCACCAAGCCAACGAUCUGUAGCUGGUCUGAGAGGACGACCAGCCACACUGGGACUGAGACACGGCCCAGACGCCUACGGGAGGCAGCAGUGGGGAAUUUUGGACAAUGGGCGAAAGCCUGAUCCAGCAAUGCCGCGUGCAGGAAGAAGGCCUUCGGGUUGUAAACUGCUUUUGUACGGAGCGAAAAGGUCUCCUCUAAUACAGGGGGCUCAUGACGGUACCGUAAGAAUAAGCACCGGCUAACUACGUGCCAGCAGCCGCCGUAA